Molecule: ribosomal RNA, 160 nt
Filed under: Goniomitrium seroi
Lineage: Eukaryota; Viridiplantae; Streptophyta; Bryopsida; Funariales; Funariaceae
Description: 5.8S ribosomal RNA
Rfam family: 5.8S ribosomal RNA
About the family: 5.8S ribosomal RNA (5.8S rRNA) is a component of the large subunit of the eukaryotic ribosome. It is transcribed by RNA polymerase I as part of the 45S precursor that also contains 18S and 28S rRNA.
Source: RNAcentral
AUAACAACUCUCAGCAACGGAUAUCUUGGCUCUUGCAACGAUGAAGAACGCAGCGAAAUGCGAUACGUAGUGUGAAUUGCAGAAUUCCGUGAAUCAUCGAGUUUUUGAACGCAAGUUGCGCCCGAGGCUUGUCCAAGGGCAUUUUCGCCAGAGCGUCAUC